CCGAAAGGCAGGAGUGCCCGCAAGGGAGCGCGGAGACAGGUGGUGCAUGGCUGUCGUCAGCUCGUGUCGUGAGAUGUUGGGUUAGGUCCCGCAACGAGCGUAACCCUCACCCCUUGUUGCUACCAGGUAAAGCUGGGCACUCUAGGGGAACUGCCCCGGUCAACGGGGAGGAAGGCGGGGAUGACGUCAAGUCAUCAUGCCCCUUACGUCCUGGGCUACACACGUGCUACAAUGGCCGGUACAAAGGGAUGCCACACCGUGAGGUAGAGCUAAACCCAAAAAGCCGGUCUAAGUUCAGAUUGGAGUCUGCAACUCGACUCCAUGAAGGAGGAAUCGCUAGUAAUCGCGUAUCAGCACGACGCGGUGAAUACGUUCCCGGGCCUUGUAUACACCGCCCGUCACACCACGAAAGCCAG
This 416-nucleotide ribosomal RNA is filed under the name uncultured Methylomirabilota bacterium. RNAcentral's name for it is "bacterial SSU rRNA". It matches the Rfam family "Bacterial small subunit ribosomal RNA", at positions 1001 to 1414 of the family's 1533-position model. The record is from RNAcentral. Lineage: Bacteria; Methylomirabilota (SeqCode).